GAAGGGCUUCGUGGUCGAGAGGGAAACAACCCAGACCAUCUGCUAAGGUCCCGAAGUGAUGCUUAGUCACUAAGGAAGUUGAAUUGCCGAGACAGCCAGGAUGUUGGCUUAGAAGCAGCCACCAUUUAAAAAGUGCGUAACAGCUUACUGGUCGAGCAGUUCUGCGCCGAUAAUGAACGGGAGUAAGCAUCACACCGAAGCAGUGGAUUUGCCGCAAGGCAAGUGGUAGGAGAGCGCUGUAC
RNAcentral lists this ribosomal RNA (242 nucleotides) under Protocruzia adhaerens. Its description in RNAcentral is "Protocruzia adherens partial Bacterial large subunit ribosomal RNA". It matches the Rfam family "Bacterial large subunit ribosomal RNA", at positions 997 to 1244 of the family's 2925-position model. Lineage: Eukaryota; Ciliophora; Spirotrichea. The record is from RNAcentral.